CGCGUAGGCGGUUUCUUAAGUCAGAUGUGAAAUCCCGGGGCUUAACCCCGGAAGUGCAUUUGAAACUAAGGGACUUGAGUAUGGGAGAGGGAAGUGGAAUUCCUGGUGUAGAGGUGAAAUUCGUAGAUAUCAGGAGGAACACCGGUGGCGAAGGCGACUUCCUGGACCAGUACUGACGCUGAGGCGCGAAGGCGUGGGGAGCAAACA
RNAcentral lists this ribosomal RNA (207 nucleotides) under uncultured bacterium. RNAcentral describes it as "partial 16S ribosomal RNA". It matches the Rfam family "Bacterial small subunit ribosomal RNA", at positions 568 to 774 of the family's 1533-position model. The record is from RNAcentral.